This is a non-coding RNA of Didymella keratinophila, 83 nucleotides long. NCBI's taxonomy places the organism in Eukaryota, Fungi, Ascomycota, Dothideomycetes, Pleosporales, Didymellaceae. The record is from the annotation of a GenBank genome assembly.
GGGUCGGUGGCACAGUGGUAGCGCAUGGGAUUGCAGUCAUUCUGAUUAUCCUAAGGUCCCCGGUUCGACCCCGGGUCGGCCCU